GUGCCAGCAGCGGCGGUAAUACGUAGGGCGCAAGCGUUAUCCGGAAUUAUUGGGCGUAAAGAGCUCGUAGGCGGUCUGUCGCGUCUGCUGUGAAAACCCGAGGCUCAACCUCGGGCCUGCAGUGGGUACGGGCAGACUAGAGUGCGGUAGGGAGAUUGGAAUUCCUGGUGUAGCGGUGGAAUGCGCAGAUAUCAGGAGGAACACCGAUGGCGAAGGCAGAUCUCUGGGCCGUAACUGACGCUGAGGAGCGAAAGGGUGGGGAGCAAACAGGCUUAGAUACCCUGGUAGUCCACCCCGUAAACGUUGGGAACUAGUUGUGGGACCAUUCCACGGUUUCCGUGACGCAGCUAACGCAUUAAGUUCCCCGCCUGGGGAGUACGGCCGCAAGGCUAAAACUCAAAGGAAUUGACGGGACCCGCACAAGCGGCGGAGCAUGCGGAUUAAUCGAUGCAACGCGAAGAACCUUACCAAGGCUUAGACAUAUACGAGAAC
RNAcentral lists this ribosomal RNA (492 nucleotides) under uncultured Microbacterium sp. RNAcentral's name for it is "bacterial SSU rRNA". It matches the Rfam family "Bacterial small subunit ribosomal RNA", at positions 505 to 997 of the family's 1533-position model. The record is from RNAcentral. Lineage: Bacteria; Bacillati; Actinomycetota; Actinomycetes; Micrococcales; Microbacteriaceae.